AGAGCGAACGCUGGCGGCAGGCCUAACACAUGCAAGUCGAGCGCCCGUAGCAAUACGGGAGCGGCAGACGGGAGAGUAACACGUGGGAACGUACCCUUCAGUUCGGAAUAACCCAGGGAAACUUGGACUAAUACCGAAUACGUCCGUAAGGAGAAAGAUUUAUCGCUGAAGGAUCGGCCCGCGUCUGAUUAGCUUGUUGGUGAGGUAACGGCUCACCAAGGCGACGAUCAGUAGCUGGUCUGAGAGGAUGAUCAGCCUCACUGGGACUGAGACACGGCCCAGACUCCUACGGGAGGCAGCAGUGGGGAAUAUUGGACAAUGGGCGCAAGCCUGAUCCAGCCAUGCCGCGUGGAUGAUGAAGGCCCUAGGGUUGUAAAGUCCUUUCGACGGGGAAGAUAAUGACGGUACCCGUAGAAGAAGCCCCGGCUAACUUCGUGCCAGCAGCCGC
This 448-nucleotide ribosomal RNA is filed under the name uncultured bacterium. RNAcentral's name for it is "SSU rRNA". It matches the Rfam family "Bacterial small subunit ribosomal RNA", at positions 26 to 518 of the family's 1533-position model. The record is from RNAcentral.